GGCGAUGACGGGUAGCUGGUCUGAGAGGACGACCAGCCACACUGGAACUGAGACACGGUCCAGACACCUACGGGUGGCAGCAGUCGAGAAUUUUUCUCAAUGGGGGCAACCCUGAAGGAGCGACGCCGCGUGGAGGAUGAAGGUCUUCGGAUUGUAAACUCCUGUCAUUUGGGAACAAAUACCUGAUUUAACUGAUUAGGAACUGAUAGUACCAGAAGAGGAAGAGACGGCUAACUCUGUGCCAGCAGCCGCGGUAAUACAGAGGUCUCAACCGUUGUUCGGAUUCAUUGGGCGUAAAGGGUGCGUAGGCGGUCGCGCAAGUCGAUGUGAAAUCUUAGGGCUCAACCCUGAAACUGCAUUCGAUACUGCGUCUCGAGUACUGGAGAGGAGACUGGAAUUUACGGUGUAGCAGUGAAAUGCGUAGAUAUCGUAAGGAAGACCAGUGGCGAAGGCGAGUCUCUGGACAGUUACUGACGCUGAGGCACGAAGGCCAGGGGAGCAAACGGGAUUAGAUACCCCGGUAGUCCUGGCAGUAAACGGUGUACGUUUGGUGUAGGCGGAUUCGACCCCGCCUGUGCCGGAGCUAACGCGUUAAACGUACCGCCUGGGAAGUACGGUCGCAAGAUUAAAACUCAAAGAAAUUGACGGGGGCCCGCACAAGCGGUGGAGUAUGUGGCUUAAUUCGAUGCUACGCGAAGAACCUUACCAGGGUUUGACAUGUAUCUCUAAGUCGGUGAAAGCUGGCGAGUUGUAGCAAUACAACAAUUUACACAGGUGCUGCAUGGCUGUCGUCAGCUCGUGUCGUGAGAUGUUGGGUUAAGUCCCGCAACGAGCGCAACCCUUACGUCCUGUUGCCACUCCUUUAUUGGAAGCACUCUGGACGGACUGCCCUGUGAAACGGGGAGGAAGGUGAGGAUGACGUCAAGUCAGCAUGGCCCUUACACCCUGGGCUGCACACGUACUACAAUGCUCAGUACAAUAUGAGCCGAAACCGCGAGGUGGAGGAAAUCGAUAAAACUGAGCCCAAUUCGGAUCGCAGGCUGCAACUCGCCUGCGUGAAGCCGGAAUCGCUAGUAAUGCCGUAUCAGCUACGACGGCGUGAAUACGUUCCCGGGCCUUGUACACACCGCCCGUCACAUCAUGGGAGUCGUUUGCACCCGAAGUACACCACUGGUGUCCUACGGUAUGAGCGGUAACUGGGAUGAAGUCGUAACAAGGUA
This 1220-nucleotide ribosomal RNA is filed under the name metagenome. RNAcentral's name for it is "bacterial SSU rRNA". It matches the Rfam family "Bacterial small subunit ribosomal RNA", at positions 272 to 1498 of the family's 1533-position model. The record is from RNAcentral.